UACGUAGGGUGCAAGCGUUGUCCGGAAUUAUUGGGCGUAAAGCGCGCGUAGGCGGUUACUUAAGUCGGAUGUGAAAGCCCUCGGCUUAACUGAGGAAGUGCACCCGAAACUGAGUAGCUAGAGUACGAAAGAGGGUCGCGGAAUUCCCGGUGUAGAGGUGAAAUUCGUAGAUAUCGGGAGGAACACCGGUGGCGAAGGCGGCGACCUGGGUCGAGACUGACGCUGAGGCGCGAAAGCGUGGGGAGCAAACAGG
RNAcentral lists this ribosomal RNA (253 nucleotides) under uncultured bacterium. RNAcentral describes it as "partial 16S ribosomal RNA". It matches the Rfam family "Bacterial small subunit ribosomal RNA", at positions 524 to 776 of the family's 1533-position model. The record is from RNAcentral.